RNAcentral lists this ribosomal RNA (466 nucleotides) under uncultured bacterium. Its description in RNAcentral is "partial 16S ribosomal RNA". It matches the Rfam family "Bacterial small subunit ribosomal RNA", at positions 28 to 507 of the family's 1533-position model. The record is from RNAcentral.
GAUGAACGCUGGCGGCGUGCUUAACACAUGCCAGUCGAACGAUGAAGCCCAGCUUUCUGGGUGGUUUAGUGGCGAACGGGUGAGUAACACGUGAGUAACCUGCCCUUAACUCUGGGAUAAGCCUGGGAAACUGGGUCUAAUACCUGCUAGGAGCGUUCUCCGCAUGGUUGGUGUUGGAAUGAUUUAUCGGUUUUGGAUGGACUCUCGGCCUAUCCGCUUGUUGGUGAAGUAAUGGCUCACAAAGGCGAUGACGGGUAGCCGGCAUGUGAGGGUGACCGGCGAGACUGGGACGGAGAGAAGGCAGAGAGUGGAACGGGAGGCAGCAGUGGGGAAGAUUGCAGAAUGGGCGCAAGGCGGAUGAAGAGAGGCGGCGUGAGGGAAGACGGCGUUAGGGUUGUAAAACUAAUGGAGAAGGGAGGAAGCGAAAGUGACGGUAACUGAAGAAGAAGCACCGGCUAACUACGUG